GGCCUAACACAUGCAAGUCGAGCGGAAACGAGUUAUCUGAACCUUCGGGGAACGAUAACGGCGUCGAGCGGCGGACGGGUGAGUAAUGCCUAGGAAAUUGCCCUGAUGUGGGGGAUAACCAUUGGAAACGAUGGCUAAUACCGCAUAAUGCCUACGGGCCAAAGAGGGGGACCUUCGGGCCUCUCGCGUCAGGAUAUGCCUAGGUGGGAUUAGCUAGUUGGUGAGGUAAGGGCUCACCAAGGCGACGAUCCCUAGCUGGUCUGAGAGGAUGAUCAGCCACACUGGAACUGAGACACGGUCCAGACUCCUACGGGAGGCAGCAGUGGGGAAUAUUGCACAAUGGGCGCAAGCCUGAUGCAGCCAUGCCGCGUGUGUGAAGAAGGCCUUCGGGUUGUAAAGCACUUUCAGUCGUGAGGAAGGCAGUAUCGUUAAUAGCGGUAUUGUUUGACGUUAGCGACAGAAGAAGCACCGGCUAACUCCGUGCCAGCAGCCGCGGUAAUACGGAGGGUGCGAGCGUUAAUCGGAAUUACUGGGCGUAAAGCGCAUGCAGGUGGUUUGUUAAGUCAGAUGUGAAAGCCCGGGGCUCAACCUCGGAAUUGCAUUUGAAACUGGCAGACUAGAGUACUGUAGAGGGGGGUAGAAUUUCAGGUGUAGCGGUGAAAUGCGUAGAGAUCUGAAGGAAUACCGGUGGCGAAGGCGGCCCCCUGGACAGAUACUGACACUCAGAUGCGAAAGCGUGGGGAGCAAACAGGAUUAGAUACCCUGGUAGUCCACGCCGUAAACGAUGUCUACUUGGAGGUUGUGGCCUUGAGCCGUGGCUUUCGGAGCUAACGCGUUAAGUAGACCGCCUGGGGAGUACGGUCGCAAGAUUAAAACUCAAAUGAAUUGACGGGGGCCCGCACAAGCGG
Molecule: ribosomal RNA, 908 nt
Filed under: bacterium WP3ISO2
Lineage: Bacteria
Description: bacterial SSU rRNA
Rfam family: Bacterial small subunit ribosomal RNA
Source: RNAcentral